RNAcentral lists this ribosomal RNA (484 nucleotides) under uncultured bacterium. RNAcentral's name for it is "partial 16S ribosomal RNA". It matches the Rfam family "Bacterial small subunit ribosomal RNA", at positions 30 to 507 of the family's 1533-position model. The record is from RNAcentral.
AUUGAACGCUGGCGGCAGGCCUAACACAUGCAAGUCGAGCGGAUGAAGGGAGCUUGCUCCUGGAUUCAGCGGCGGACGGGUGAGUAAUGCCUAGGAAUCUGCCUGGUAGUGGGGGAUAACGUCCGGAAACGGGCGCUAAUACCGCAUACGUCCUGAGGGAGAAAGUGGGGGAUCUUCGGACCUCACGCUAUCAGAUGAGCCUAGGUCGGAUUAGCUAGUUGGUGGGGUAAAGGCCUACCAAGGCGACGAUCCGUAACUGGUCUGAGAGGAUGAUCAGUCACAGUGGAACGGAAACAGGGUCCAGCUCACUACGGGAGGCGGCGUGGGGGAAUUGUGAACAAGGGGGGAAGGCUUGACCCAGCCUUGCGGCGGGGGUAAAGAGGGUCUUGGUAUGUUAAAGAAUUUUAAGUGGGGAGGAAGGGAAGUAAGUUAAUACCUUCUUGUUUGAAGUUCACAAAAAAAAAAAGCCCCGGCAAACUCCGUC